GUUGGCCUCUCGGUGACCGUAAGAGAUUCAAAAUGUGUGGCCAUGACUUGGGGAGCCCUAGCUGAGCCCUAAAGAAGGGCGAGCGAGGUGGCUAACUAUGAUUUUGGUCGUGGGGCUGAACCUCUGUUUUGACCUCGCGGGACUGGUGUAUUUACUUAGAGUUGCUAAGGCCAGCACCUAACCCUAAAUGCCAGUUCUCUAGCCUGAUGGGGCUUGUCUUUUUGGAUGAUGUGCUUGAACGUAUGUAGAUACUAACCUUGAGUAUUAGUCCUAUUGCUUUGGGCAAGGCACAGGAAGACUUC
This is a non-coding RNA of Pelobates cultripes (western spadefoot toad), 302 nucleotides long. The record is from the annotation of a GenBank genome assembly. Lineage: Eukaryota; Metazoa; Chordata; Amphibia; Anura; Pelobatidae.